RNAcentral lists this ribosomal RNA (479 nucleotides) under Veillonella parvula. RNAcentral's name for it is "bacterial SSU rRNA". It matches the Rfam family "Bacterial small subunit ribosomal RNA", at positions 28 to 475 of the family's 1533-position model. Lineage: Bacteria; Bacillati; Bacillota; Negativicutes; Veillonellales; Veillonellaceae. The record is from RNAcentral.
GACGAACGCUGGCGGCGUGCUUAACACAUGCAAGUCGAACGAAGAGCGAUGGAAGCUUGCUUCUAUCAAUCUUAGUGGCGAACGGGUGAGUAACGCGUAAUCAACCUGCCCUUCAGAGGGGGACAACAGUUGGAAACGACUGCUAAUACCGCAUACGAUCUAACCUCGGCAUCGAGGAAAGAUGAAAGGUGGCCUCUAUGUAUAAGCUAUCACUGAAGGAGGGGAUUUGCGUCUGAUUAGCUAGUUGGAGGGGUAACGGCCCACCAAGGCGAUGAUCAGUAGCCGGUCUGAGAGGAUGAACGGCCACAUUGGGACUGAGACACGGCCCAGACUCCUACGGGAGGCAGCAGUGGGGAAUCUUCCGCAAUGGACGAAAGUCUGACGGAGCAACGCCGCGUGAGUGAUGACCGGCUUCGGGUUGUAAAGCUCUGUUAAUCGGGACGAAAGGCCUUCUUGCGAAUAGUUAGAAGGAUUGACGG